Sapajus apella (tufted capuchin) is the source of this 200-nucleotide long non-coding RNA. RefSeq lists it as uncharacterized. The transcript has 3 exons. Lineage: Eukaryota; Metazoa; Chordata; Mammalia; Primates; Cebidae. The record is from RefSeq and is a predicted model, not a curated record.
UCUGGGCAGUUGGGCGGCCAGCCUGUGGGGGCCGGCCCUGGAGCAAGCGACCGAGCCUUUGGGGCGCUACGGCAGAGGUGGGGGCGGCGGGGGUGCCGCCGCGGCGGAAGAAGGAGCGAGGCCCAGAGCACCGGGCCCUCUUCAACCUGGGGCCCUGGGUGAAGUGCUCUGCCGCCCUUGCCUCUAGAGUUGUCUUGAAU